This 210-nucleotide ribosomal RNA is filed under the name uncultured bacterium. RNAcentral describes it as "partial 16S ribosomal RNA". It matches the Rfam family "Bacterial small subunit ribosomal RNA", at positions 28 to 236 of the family's 1533-position model. The record is from RNAcentral.
GACGAACGCUGGCGGCGUGCUUAACACAUGCAAGUCGAGCGGUAAGGCCCUUUCGGGGGUACACGAGCGGCGAACGGGUGAGUAACACGUGGGUGACCUGCCCUCAGCUCUGGGAUAAGCCUGGGAAACCGGGUCUAAUACUGGAUAUGACUCCAUGACGCAUGUUGUGGGGUGGAAAGCCUUGUGCGGCUGGAGGAGUCGGGCCCGCGG